UACGAAGGGGGCUAGCGUUGUUCGGAAUUACUGGGCGUAAAGCGCGUGUAGGCGGGUCUUUAAGUCAGGGGUGAAAUGCCAGGGCUCAACCUUGGAACUGCCUUUGAUACUGGAGACCUUGAGUCCGGGAGAGGUGAGUGGAAUUGCGAGUGUAGAGGUGAAAUUCGUAGAUAUUCGCAAGAACACCAGUGGCGAAGGCGGCUCACUGGCCCAGAACUGACGCUGAGACGCGAAAGCGUGGGGAGCAAACAGG
RNAcentral lists this ribosomal RNA (253 nucleotides) under uncultured bacterium. RNAcentral describes it as "partial 16S ribosomal RNA". It matches the Rfam family "Bacterial small subunit ribosomal RNA", at positions 524 to 776 of the family's 1533-position model. The record is from RNAcentral.